CCCCCGCCCACUUGAACACAAAUAAGCUGAAGUUAAACCGGUCAAUUGCUGAUGUCAGGGUUGGAAAAUGCUAUCGCGCUAUUUUUUUACAUAACAAAAUUGCUAUUUAACUUGAGUUGGACACUUGCGCCUCCUUACCGCCAGCCAAAAAUGUAGGAAUAUGUCUAAUUAGGAUUUCAAUAACCUAUAUUGUAUAUAUAAAUAAAACUGAUCGGUUCAAAGAGGUAAUGUUUUGGGAGUCAGAAGGUUGUUACCGUAUGAAAGGAAGAAUGGCUGUGACUGGAGAUCUGUUGGGUUCACCAGUAUCAGAUCUUGUUCCCAGAUCCACUUGUGUUUCCAGGCUCCAAGAUCCAAGACGGUUUACUGUUGGGAUCCAACAGCAGCUGUUUUGUCUGUUACAACAACAAACCAUCUUUAGUUUCACACCACUGGUUGUUGUAACCACUCCGUCCUCUGCUGCUGCUGUCAAUUGUGCCUCGGACAUCUUUGAUGGAAGAGCCGCAGUUCCCCGAGGAACAAUACCAGCGAGAGUAAUCACACCAAUCAUGUGUAUUCUUGUAGCGUAAAUCCACCUGGAGAACAGAAAGUCACAUUGUAAUGGGGGCAAUAAAACAUCAUUAGACUGAUGAAGUUUGAUUAACGCUGUUGUUUUGGAACAGCUUUGGCAGAUUUGAACUAGCAAGCUAUCGGUUACUAGUCCAAUGCUCUAACCACUAGGCUACGCUACCGACCGGUUCUUUGAAUCUACUGUUACAUUUCUCUAAUGGCAAAACGUCUGCAACCUGUUGAAACAUGCUUUAGUUGAAAAGUGGGUGGUUUGUCAUUUUUUUUCUCCAAAAUACAAUAAUAAAUGUAUCUGCAAAGUAGGGAAUUGUUAUCAACAGCAACCUUAGCUUGUCCGAGUCAAGCGUGGCAUUUGUCAUGUAAUUAAGGAGGUAACGGCUUGGAGAUUGUUCUAAGUCCAUGUCUAAUAUGAUCUGAGUGGCUGUAUGGAUAGAGCGCCAGAAAUACACUAACUUACUGCAAUGACAGAACCGGUGCACAACGGUUCCUUUCUCUGUCCUACACACAUGCACCAUAUCUGCUAAGAGUUUAGACCAGUGAAACAUGUUCAUCUGUUAUUUUCAGACUGAAUAAAACAUAACAAAUGGAAAAACAAACACAUUUAGAUUAAAUUAAAUUAACUUGUGUUAUUUAUUCCCUUCUGAAAAUACCAGGUGCUCAUUUUGCAUUGAUGCAAAAGCUGAAAACAUCUCUAAUGUAUACAUUCUACAGCCUCUUAUGUCUCAUUCAUUUGAAAAGAACAAAACUUUGCACACCAUUAAUUAAAGCAUAAAUACUCAUAUGCUAU
Molecule: long non-coding RNA, 1351 nt
Organism: Oncorhynchus tshawytscha (Chinook salmon)
Lineage: Eukaryota; Metazoa; Chordata; Actinopteri; Salmoniformes; Salmonidae
Source: Ensembl